GCAUUAACAACAUGAAAGCAAAAAGAACUACACACAUCUGAUGAAGAGACUCUUUGUUUUUUUCUAUUUUCUGUCAUCUGCCCACUCCUCCUUUAAGACCAAACAGGAGACAAGGGAUAUUUCUGUCUGAUUUAAUAAAGAGGAAAACUAUCAAUCCCCAUUGUGUAGUGGUGAAGAUUACUGCUCUUUGGAAUAAACUCCCUUGGGAAGAAAAGCAUUUUCCAUAUAUUGAUGCUCUCAGUUCAAGACAGAAUGCCUUCCUGGA
Meleagris gallopavo (turkey) is the source of this 265-nucleotide non-coding RNA. The record is from RefSeq and is a predicted model, not a curated record. Lineage: Eukaryota; Metazoa; Chordata; Aves; Galliformes; Phasianidae.